GUGCUCACUUUGGCAGCGCAUAUACUAAAAUUGGAACAAUAUAAAGAAGAUUAGCAUGGCCCCUGCACAAGGAUAACAAGCAAAUUCGUGAAGCAUUCCCCGGCCCC
Molecule: small nuclear RNA, 107 nt
Organism: Acomys russatus (golden spiny mouse)
Lineage: Eukaryota; Metazoa; Chordata; Mammalia; Rodentia; Muridae
Source: RefSeq, a predicted model, not a curated record